CGCUCAGAUUGAACGCUAGCCGGGAUGCCUUACACAUGCAAGUCGAACGGCAGCACGGACUUCGGUCUGGUGGCGAGUGGCGAACGGGUGAGUAAUGUAUCGGAACGUGCCCAGUAGCGGGGGAUAACUACGCGAAAGCGUAGCUAAUACCGCAUACGCCCUACGGGGGAAAGCAGGGGAUCGNAAGACCUUGCACUAUUGGAGCGGCCGAUAUCGGAUUAGCUAGUUGGUGGGGUAACGGCUCACCAAGGCGACGAUCCGUAGCUGGUUUGAGAGGACGACCAGCCACACUGGGACUGAGACACGGCCCAGACUCCUACGGGAGGCAGCAGUGGGGAAUUUUGGACAAUGGGGGAAACCCUGAUCCAGCCAUCCCGCGUGUGCGAUGAAGGCCUUCGGGUUGUAAAGCACUUUUGGCAGGAAAGAAACGUCAUGGGUUAAUACCCCGUGAAACUGACGGUACCUGCAGAAUAAGCACCGGCUAACUACGUGCCAGCAGCCGCGGUAAUACGUAGGGUGCAAGCGUUAAUCGGAAUUACUGGGCGUAAAGCGUGCGCAGGCGGUUCGGAAAGAAAGAUGUGAAAUCCCAGAGCUUAACUUUGGAACUGCAUUUUUAACUACCGGGCUAGAGUGUGUCAGAGGGAGGUGGAAUUCCGCGUGUAGCAGUGAAAUGCGUAGAUAUGCGGAGGAACACCGAUGGCGAAGGCAGCCUCCUGGGAUAACACUGACGCUCAUGCACGAAAGGCGUGGGGAGCAAAACAGGAUUAGAUACCCUGGUAGUCCACGCCCUAAACGAUGUCAACUAGCUGUUGGGGUCUUCGGACCUUGGUAGCGCAGCUAACGCGUGAAGUUGACCGCCUGGGGAGUACGGUCGCAAGAUUAAAACUCAAAGGAAUUGACGGGGACCCGCACAAGCGGUGGAUGAUGUGGAUUAAUUCGAUGCAACGCGAAAAACCUUACCUACCCUUGACAUGUCUGGAAUCCUGAAGAGAUUUAGGAGUGCUCGCAAGAGAACCGGAACACAGGUGCUGCAUGGCUGUCGUCAGCUCGUGUCGUGAGAUGUUGGGUUAAGUCCCGCAACGAGCGCAACCCUUGUCAUUAGUUGCUACGAAAGGGCACUCUAAUGAGACUGCCGGUGACAAACCGGAGGAAGGUGGGGAUGACGUCAAGUCCUCAUGGCCCUUAUGGGUAGGGCUUCACACGUCAUACAAUGGUCGGGACAGAGGGUCGCCAACCCGCGAGGGGGAGCCAAUCCCAGAAACCCGAUCGUAGUCCGGAUCGCAGUCUGCAACUCGACUGCGUGAAGUCGGAAUCGCUAGUAAUCGCGGAUCAGCAUGUCGCGGUGAAUACGUUCCCGGGUCUUGUACACACCGCCCGUCACACCAUGGGAGUGGGUUUUUACCAGAAGUAGUUAGCCUAACCGUAAGGGGGGCGAUUACC
RNAcentral lists this ribosomal RNA (1440 nucleotides) under Achromobacter sp. CS6G3-1. RNAcentral's name for it is "bacterial SSU rRNA". It matches the Rfam family "Bacterial small subunit ribosomal RNA". Lineage: Bacteria; Pseudomonadati; Pseudomonadota; Betaproteobacteria; Burkholderiales; Alcaligenaceae. The record is from RNAcentral.